This 739-nucleotide long non-coding RNA is filed under the name Pan troglodytes (chimpanzee). Its description in RNAcentral is "long non-coding RNA NONPTRT011820". The record is from RNAcentral. Lineage: Eukaryota; Metazoa; Chordata; Mammalia; Primates; Hominidae.
CUGGCCUGGGGCUCGGACUUGGGGCCGGAGCCGCGGGAGCCGGCGGACGCUGGACCAGGAGCCCCGACGUGAUCGCGUGGCGGGUGGUCGGGUCUCCGGGUGGCCGGGUGUCGGCCCCGGGAUCCGGCGGCUCGCUGGCGGGAGUCGGCGGCCUCUGCUGGGCCUGGGUCCCGGCUCCCGGCCCGGCCCGCUCCCACUGCGGCCGCCAUGUGGUGCCUGCACUGCAACUCGGAGAGGACCCAGUCCCUUCUGGAGCUAGAGCUUGACAGCGGGUACCUGCAGCUUCACUGCUCCUUGGAGGAAAUGCCCAUUCUUUCCGUUUUAUCUCCUCGGUUUGCAGUUUCCUGACAUGGUGACAGUUUGAUUUGAACUUAAGGUCCCGAUGGAGAACCAUAGCGAGCGUCCUCUCCCUGUUUCUAAAGAUGAGACACUGUGACUGCAUUUGUUUUUUCCUCUUUGUUCAAAGCUCAGUAGUAAUAGUAAUAGCAACAGUUGCCAUUUAGUGCUAAAGUUGCUAGAGUGCUAGAGUUAGCGUUUGAACUCCGCCUGCCUGGCUUCAGGGUCUGUGUACUUCAUGGCCAGGCUCUGCUUCCUCUGGGAUUAAAUAAUCUUUGGCAAAAUAUGUCACCACCAUGAAUGGAACCUUUUGCUUCUUCCCUAUACUGCCACAACAGAUGUCUGGUAUCCCCAGGUAUCAGGAUUCCCAACAUGUUCUCAGAAGUCUCAGCCCACAAGCUGG